RNAcentral lists this long non-coding RNA (1600 nucleotides) under Amazona collaria (yellow-billed parrot). Its description in RNAcentral is "lncRNA (ENSACOG00000014241.1)". Lineage: Eukaryota; Metazoa; Chordata; Aves; Psittaciformes; Psittacidae. The record is from RNAcentral.
CUGCCACGGCGCCUUGGUGACCCUCUGCCUGGCAGUCCCGUGCCAUGCUGGCACCUCUCCCAGCUGUGCCUUGCCCGUGCUGCCUGCCCCACCGCGCUGCUGCAGAGCUGAGCCGCCUGUUCCCCCGCAGCCUGCUCAUUCCUGGAGCUGCAGGGAAGGCUUUGGCAGAGGAAUGGGAAAACUCCCUGCUGGUGACUCCAAACCCCACCCAAAGCAAACAGCCCAACUGCCAGCCACAGCGGGGCUCCCGGUGCCUGGCAAUGCAUCCUGCUGUGGGCUCCCUUGGAUAGGGGGAAGAGGUGGCAAGUGCUGGCUGCCAUGGAGGGGCUUGGGGCCAGAUCUGGCUAUGGGGUGCAGGAAGGGCCCUACAUAGCAUUGCCAAAAGCAGUGCCAGGCUUUGCUGAGCACCAGGGCAAUGGGGAUCCCUGUUUCCACAUCCCCCCAAACAGGGCUUCAUGGGGCUGCUGGGGCACAGUCUAACUGCAGAAACCCAUCCCUGGGGAAAGCAUCACAGUGCUGAUGCCUGUGCAGGUACGACAGGACCAAACUGACCCUGAAGGACAUUCACAACUGCCAGUAUGUGGCCUGCAUGAACCCAACUGCAGGGUCCUUCACCAUCGACUCCAGGCUGCAGGUACACAGGAUACACAGGGAUGGGGGCUUGUCCCAGCGGGUUCACUGUCCUGGCACUGGAACAAGGUGGAGUGAGAUGGGAUGGGGUGGGAUGGGGAACAUCACGGUGCAGGGUGCCUGCAUCAACCUGUGCAGGGCAAAACUCCUGCCUGAAUUUUUGCCCCUGGGCACAGCGACACUUCUGCAUCUUCACCGUGAGCUUUCCGGGCCAGGAGGCCCUGCAGAGCGUGUACAGCACCAUCCUCACGCAGCACCUCGCCCUGCAGAAGAUGCCUGCGGCUGUGCAGAAGCUGCAGUCACAGCUGGUCACAGCAGCACUGGCCCUCCACCAGAAGGUCGCCUCCAUCUUCUUGCCAACAGCCAUCAAGUUCCACUACCUCUUCAACAUGCGGGACCUCUCCAACAUAUUCCAGGUAGUGUGAGGGCUGUUUCCUCUAAAACAUUUGUGUUCCUUUUUCACCCUUAUUCCUUCUUUUCCUGCAUCGUGCGUCCUUGCAGUGCGCCAUGUCCCUGUAAAGUACCAAGUUCCCAAAGCCAACCUUUAAAACUCAGCUCCAAGUAGCCGUAAGACAACCCCCAAAGGCUGAGGACUCGUGUGUUUGUCAGGGUUUGUUGUUCUCCACCCCUGAAUGCCUGAAGAGCCCCGUGGAGCUGGUGCGCCUCUGGCUGCACGAAGCUGAGCGGGUGUACAGAGACAAGCUCGUCGAUGAAAAGGACCGAGCGACCUUCAGGAAGGUGCUGGGGGACACCUGCGGGAAGUACUUUGGGGUGAGUUGUGCUGGAAAAUGAGGGAGGGCCGCAGCCCAGCUGGGAUGAGCCCCACAGCUGAGCCGAUGGCCGAGCCCCACAACUGCCAUUGCCUUUCCAGCACCUCGGUGAGGACGCGUUGUUCGCCAAGCCCAACAUCUUCUGCCACUUCGCCCAGGGCAGGGGGGAUCCCAAGUACAUGCCGGUGCCGAGCUGGCCG